Long non-coding RNA from Anoplophora glabripennis (Asian longhorned beetle), 3425 nucleotides. RefSeq lists it as uncharacterized. NCBI's taxonomy places the organism in Eukaryota, Metazoa, Arthropoda, Insecta, Coleoptera, Cerambycidae. The transcript is spliced from 2 exons. The record is from RefSeq and is a predicted model, not a curated record.
GUGAUGUAAACGUAAACAUUAUUGGUGUAAACAUUCGUGUUGCAAACUAUAAUAAUGUAAUCAUUUCAUAAAAAAAACAUAAAUUACAGGAGGACGAGCUCUUGUUGGUAUACUUAGAUUCGGCCAACCUGUGCAUGGAUGCAUCGCCAUCACCCAGUUGCGCCACCUGCAAAGCACCAAACACCAUAAAACAGACCGCCCAGGUCCAAAAUACUACAUGUCAUAUUAUAAGCACUGAUGAACGUUAGAUUUAUAUUAGUUAAAUGAUUUUAGUUUUAUAAAAAAGGACAUGCACUAAAUUAUUUUGCAUGAAUUAAGAAAUUUAUUGUAGUUAAUUGGCAAUUUUAGCACCUAGGAUGGAUGUAAAAAAAAAAAUAUUUCUAAUUUCAUUAAUAAUCACUGUUUAUAAUAGAAAUGUCAAUAUUUCUCAGUUUUCGCAGGCAUUUAUUUUUGAUAUGUGAUUUUAUUAAUUAGUAUCAGUAUAUUAUUAUAAAAUAUGUUAUUACCUGAUUAGAAGACGAAUUGUAUUAUUUUCGUUACAUAUCAACACAAUUACAAAAUCCAACAUUUGAUUAAUAAUUUGUAACUUCCAAUCCCUGAAUUUACAUUUAAAACAUUUUUCAUUUCCUUUCAAUACUAGAGGACAUGAAAUAUGUUUAAGUGUUAUGAAAUAGCCAGUGUUUUUUUAUUUACAUUAAAAAAACAAUAUCGGUUAUUCGGAUUUUCUACAAAAAUUGUAUCUGAAAAGUAAAAACAAAUAUUUGCAACAAAUUAAAGCCUUCAGUAAAGGUUUUAAAUAUACAGGGUGUUUUUGAAAAAGGUACCACAAAUUCAAAAGCCGAUAGAACAUCAAGAAAUAAGAUUUUUUAUGGACCAUAAGCUUAACUUUUGUUUUUGAAAAAAUUUCUGUUUACAUAGAAAAGGUACUUUUUGUUGAAAUCGCUGAAAAUACAUUUUUUCAGAAAAAAAAUCCAAUUCAUUGUUUCAAAGUCCAAAGCUUCUACUCCGUAAUAUACAAAGAGUUGAAAUGAAUGGACCACACUUCAAAAGUAGCUUCCUUAGAUGAAAAUAAACCAAUUUAGAUCAGGUUACCUUUGCAUAAUUUUAUUUCUUUAAAAAGUUAUGUUAGUAAGUAUUAAUAAGAAAUAAACAAUAUUUUGAAGCUGGCAACUUUUGAAGCAAGGAAAGUUAGAAUUAAGGUAACUUAAAUGUAACUUAAUUUAAAUCAGUUUAUUUCUACCCUAGAAAGCUAACCUUGAAGUACGUCUCUGACGACCCUGUAUAUUAAGGAAUAGAAACUGGUUCUUUGAGAAACAUCCAUUUUCAACUAUUUCAACUAGAGUACUGUUUUGAUGUAAAAUGAAAUUAUAUAUUAUGACAUACGAUUUAGUAGAAAACCUAAUGUCAAAAAAGUUUUCAUGAAAUGUCACUGGAUAAACUGACUAUAAUGACAUAUUUAGCAACCUUAAAAACUUAUCUGUAUCAAUUUCAAUGCAUUAUAUUGUUUUUUGUCUGGCUUAAAUUUAAUUAUAAAAAAUAAUUUUUAAAUAUCAAAAGCUAAAGACGAUGGACCUGUGGUUCAUAGCAGAAAUUCUUAUUUUUUGAGGUCCUAUCGGUCUCUGAAUUUGUGGCACCUUUUCCCUAAACAGUCCGUAUAUAAAAUAUUACAUACGUCUUUUUGAUAUAAAACACAAUUUUAAGCUUUUAUGAUGAACUGGAGGGUAUUAAUUUACACUGACAUUUUUUAUAAUCGGUAAAUUUCAGUACAGUGCUACUCACAUAACAAUCUACCCGCUAUAUCUUUUUUACUUUUCUAUAUAGUAAAAGUGGUAAAGACUACAGCUUUAGGAAAUUUUCUGUAAUUUCGAAGAAUUAUAUGGGGUGUCCCAGACCAUCCGUCCACCCCUUCUAAAAUCCAAAGUACAUGAUUAUGUGGAAAAUGGUUCAGAUGAAAGUUACUGGUUUUCAAAUGGCACAUAUUAAAAAAAAAAAAAAAAGACUUUCAAGGUCAACUUAGUUUUUUUUAAAUGGAAAUCCUUAUUUUCAAUCCUGGAUUCAGAAAGAGCGGAAAAUUCUACGUUCAGAUGAUGUAUCAUGUGUAGGGUCCAUUUAACCCCCCAAGGUCACAUGAAGGUCAAUUUUGUUUAUGGUUUCUUUUUGUAUCUAGGUACUAUUUCAAUGGUAUUACAUAAAAAACAGGUUUGCUUUAUUAACAUUGAAAUAACUUAAUGUUAUUAUGUCAUUAUGUUGUUACACAUUAAUUGUAAUUGAAAAAAAAAUUGACCACGUGACCUUGGGGGGUCAAAUGGACCCCACACAUGAAACAUCAUCUGAACGUAGAAUUUUCCGCUCUUUCCAAAUCCAGGGUUGAAAAUAAGGGUUUUCAAUUAAAAAAACUAAGUUGGCCUUGAAAAUGACCUUCAAGGUCACGAUAAUAUAUGCCUCAUAGAUGCCAGUAACUUUCAUCAUCUGAACCAUUUUCACAUAACCACGUACUUUGGAUUUUAGAAGAGGUGGACGGGUGGUCUGGGACACCCAGUAUAAAAAAAGAAUUGACUGUUGCAUUUCGAUGAUAUAAACUAAUUUUUUUUUUGCUUUAAUAAAAUACCCUGUAUGUUUGUCACUUUUUUAGAUCAUUUCCGUUUUCAAAUUACAGUGAUAAAUGUAUUACAUAUAUUUGCACAUUAUUUUGGUUUAUUUACUGAUGUCAUGGAACUAGUACAUAUUUAAGCUUUUCUAUUGCUAAAUUUACUAAAUAGAUUUUUAAGUAUUUGAUUAUGAAAAAAAAAGUGAUGAACGAUAAAGUAAACAAAAAAAGACAUAAUUUAUAUGAUUUAAGGGAGAAAAUAUUGAAGAAAGUUAGUAUUAUUAAUGAGGUAAUAUUAUAUAAAAUGCUUAGAAUAAGUGAAUCCUCUAAAAUCAAAAUCCAACAAAUCCACUUUUUACCAAAAUUUUACUGUAUUCUAAUAUCAUUAGUCAGUAAUUUGCAAGUCUGUCUUGUCAGUAACAUACUGAAACAGUUUUUCUCCAUUUUCCCACAAAUAACAGAUUAACGGAUUUGUCAGAUUCUGAUUUUAUAGGAUUCAAGUAUCCUUUCUCUAGAAAUAAGAUAUAUUUUCUUAAUAGUGACUUUGAAUGUACAAUUUUUUCCUAGCUACAAAGAUAAAGCAGCUAGAAUGUUAUGUGAAUAACCCUGUAUAUAGAUCAAAAUACAGAGUAAAUUAUAUAUAAAUCCUUGUUAGGCAUUUAGUAAGUAGAUGUUUUAAAAAGCGUAAGUAAAUAACUAUUAAGAGUAGCUUUGCUGAUGUAAAUACCUGAAGAAAAUGUACUGUAUUACGAUCAAGAAAAUAUGGAGGAGCCUCAAAUUUAUUUCAAGUACAUGUAAAUAAUGAAAAUAUACAGUAUUCAUUUUGAUUUUUUUCUAA